GAAAGUCGUAACAAGGUUUCCGUAGGUGAACCUGCGGAAGGAUCAUUA
This 48-nucleotide ribosomal RNA is filed under the name Trichophyton rubrum. RNAcentral's name for it is "partial 18S ribosomal RNA". It matches the Rfam family "Eukaryotic small subunit ribosomal RNA", at positions 1784 to 1831 of the family's 1831-position model. Lineage: Eukaryota; Fungi; Ascomycota; Eurotiomycetes; Onygenales; Arthrodermataceae. The record is from RNAcentral.